Molecule: ribosomal RNA, 49 nt
Filed under: Tetracladium marchalianum
Lineage: Eukaryota; Fungi; Ascomycota; Leotiomycetes; Helotiales
Description: partial 28S ribosomal RNA
Source: RNAcentral
UGACCUCGGAUUAGGUAGGGAUACCCGCUGACUAAGCAUAUCAAUAAGC